Molecule: ribosomal RNA, 134 nt
Filed under: Klebsiella pneumoniae
Lineage: Bacteria; Pseudomonadati; Pseudomonadota; Gammaproteobacteria; Enterobacterales; Enterobacteriaceae
Also listed under: 1 other name
Description: partial 16S ribosomal RNA
Rfam family: Bacterial small subunit ribosomal RNA
Source: RNAcentral
AAAUUGAAGAGUUUGAUCAUGGCUCAGAUUGAACGCUGGCGGCAGGCCUAACACAUGCAAGUCGAGCGGUAGCACAGAGAGCUUGCUCUCGGGUGACGAGCGGCGGACGGGUGAGUAAUGUCUGGGAAACUGCC